UACAGAGGGUGCGAGCGUUACUCGGAAUUACUGGGCGUAAAGCGUGCGUAGGCGGCUAUCUAAGUCGGGUGUGAAAGCCCCGGGCUCAACCUGGGAAUUGCAUUCGAGACUGAGUAGCUAGGGUACGGUAGAGGGAAGUGGAAUUUCCGGUGUAGCGGUGAAAUGCGUAGAUAUCGGAAGGAACAUCAGUGGCGAAAGCGACUUCCUGGACCAGUACCGACGUUCAGGCACGAAAGCGUGGGGAGCAAACAGG
This 253-nucleotide ribosomal RNA is filed under the name uncultured bacterium. Its description in RNAcentral is "partial 16S ribosomal RNA". It matches the Rfam family "Bacterial small subunit ribosomal RNA", at positions 524 to 776 of the family's 1533-position model. The record is from RNAcentral.